RNAcentral lists this ribosomal RNA (497 nucleotides) under uncultured bacterium. RNAcentral's name for it is "partial 16S ribosomal RNA". It matches the Rfam family "Bacterial small subunit ribosomal RNA", at positions 28 to 507 of the family's 1533-position model. The record is from RNAcentral.
GAUGAACGCUGGCGGCGUGCCUAAUACAUGCAAGUCGAGCGAACGGACGAGAAGCUUGCUUCUCUGAUGUUAGCGGCGGACGGGUGAGUAACACGUGGAUAACCUACCUAUAAGACUGGGAUAACUUCGGGAAACCGGAGCUAAUACCGGAUAAUAUUUUGAACCGCAUGGUUCAAAAGUGAAAGACGGUCUUGCUGUCACUUAUAGAUGGAUCCGCGCUGCAUUAGCUAGUUGGUAAGGUAACGGCUUACCAAGGCAACGAUGCAUAGCCGACCUGAGAGGGUGAUCGGCCACACUGGAACUGAGACACGGUCCAGACUCCUACGGGAGGCAGCAGUAGGGAAUCUUCCGCAAAGGGCGAGAGCCUGACGGAGCAACGCCGCGUGAGUGAUGAAGGUCUUCGGAUCGUAAAACUCUGUAAUUAGGGAAGAACAUAUGUGUAAGUAACUGUGCACAUCUUGACGGUACCUAAUCAGAAAGCCACGGCUAACUACGUG